AGUGAACGCUGGCGGUAGGCCUAACACAUGCAAGUCGAACGGCAGCACAGUAAGAGCUUGCUCUUACGGGUGGCGAGUGGCGGACGGGUGAGGAAUACAUCGGAAUCUACUUUUUCGUGGGGGAUAACGUAGGGAAACCUACGCUAAUACCGCAUACGACCUACGGGUGAAAGCAGGGGAUCUUCGUACCUUGCGCGAUUGAAUGAGCCGAUGUCGGAUUAGCUAGUUGGCGGGGUAAAGGCCCACCAAGGCGACGAUCCGUAGCUGGUCUGAGAGGAUGAUCAGCCACACUGGAACUGAGACACGGUCCAGACUCCUACGGGAGGCAGCAGUGGGGAAUAUUGGACAAUGGGCGCAAGCCUGAUCCAGCCAUACCGCGUGGGUGAAGAAGGCCUUCGGGUUGUAAAGCCCUUUUGUUGGGAAAGAAAAGCAGCAGGUUAAUACCCCGCUGUUCUGACGGUACCCAAAGAAUAAGCACCGGCUAACUUCGUG
Molecule: ribosomal RNA, 492 nt
Filed under: uncultured bacterium
Lineage: Bacteria
Description: partial 16S ribosomal RNA
Rfam family: Bacterial small subunit ribosomal RNA
Source: RNAcentral